GACGAACGCUGGCGGCGUGCUUAACACAUGCAAGUCGAACGGAAGGGUCCUGCUUUUGUGGGGUGCUCGAGUGGCGAACGGGUGAGUAACACGUGAGUAACCUGCCCUUGACUUUGGGAUAACUUCAGGAAACUGGGGCUAAUACCGGAUAGGAGCUCCUGCUGCAUGGUGGGGGUUGGAAAGUUUCGGCGGUUGGGGAUGGACUCGCGGCUUAUCAGCUUGUUGGUGGGGUAGUGGCUUACCAAGGCUUUGACGGGUAGCCGGCCUGAGAGGGUGACCGGCCACAUUGGGACUGAGAUACGGCCCAGACUCCUACGGGAGGCAGCAGUGGGGAAUAUUGCACAAUGGGCGGAAGCCUGAUGCAGCAACGCCGCGUGCGGGAUGACGGCCUUCGGGUUGUAAACCGCUUUCGCCUGUGACGAAGCGUGAGUGACGGUAAUGGGUAAAGAAGCACCGGCUAACUACGUG
RNAcentral lists this ribosomal RNA (468 nucleotides) under uncultured bacterium. RNAcentral's name for it is "partial 16S ribosomal RNA". It matches the Rfam family "Bacterial small subunit ribosomal RNA", at positions 28 to 507 of the family's 1533-position model. The record is from RNAcentral.